GCUAUGAUUCGGAGAUCUCCUUUAUAGUUUAUUUUAUUGGCACAUGUAUGAUUGUUUGUUUUUAUAUUAUUUGUGAUUUAUUAACUUUUUUGUUUUAUAACAGAUAUAUACUUGGUUUAUGAAUAUUUUUUCAUGUGUUACUAUUUUUAAAUUUAUUUGGAUUUAAUUUUUAUUUUGUUUGUGAAAUUGGAAAAGAAAGUAAUUAACUCCCCUCGCCACCCGCCACUCGGCCA
RNAcentral lists this ribosomal RNA (233 nucleotides) under Onchocerca sp. NP-2011. RNAcentral's name for it is "partial 12S ribosomal RNA". The record is from RNAcentral. Lineage: Eukaryota; Metazoa; Nematoda; Chromadorea; Rhabditida; Onchocercidae.